AACAUGCCACUCCGCGAGAAGUAUGAACCGACGUUGAUACCGCAUUAUCAUAACUGCAUAUUCAACUGUAACAAAUGUCAUAUAUUUCAAGUAUGCAGAAAUGUUAAGAAGUUCAGUGCGAAGCUUAACAGCUGUGCCGCGGUUAGUCGAAUGUUCCUAUCUUAAUACAGUCAGUGCCUAUAGUCGGUCGUUUGCGUAAUCGGUUUGGACAAAAAUUUGGACCGUUAGGGCCGAAUUUAAGACUUCUAUGACAAUUUAAGGUUAAGGACGCAUUCUGAAUAUGAGAAAUAGUGCGCACGCUCUAAUUCACGAUUCAUCGUAACGGCCAAUCUGAAAACAUCCCUAGGAAUUUUGCGUGGAUGGUCUAGGUUAGGUCGCGUGACGCAAGGACUGAAAUAAACCGCUAUUUCGAUUUCUUAAACGUUGGCAUUUUGGCGAGAUAGGGAAGAAAGGUUCUAGGAACUCGGGAGCGAACGAUGCGUCGAGUGAUCACGCCACUGAAAUAUUUCUUCGAUGAUUCAUUUAUGGCGAUAAAUGUUAACAACUCGGAAUGAAAACAGCGAAGUCUGGCCAGAGAAAAGAACGAGCACUUUGGUGAUUUUAGAGAGACAAUUACAGAAUUUUUUUUUAAUAAAAUAUAACAUUGACAAGCAUCUAAUAUUAAUAUAUUUAUUAACGUUCGCGAAGAUAAUUUACCGACCUUAACACAGCAAUGAACGAUAAAUUCGAGGAAAUUCAUUGACGCCUUCGUAUUUCGGACUUCCGAAAUAUGACAAAUUGAAGAUACUGUGAAGGAUUUUCAGCGAAUUUGAGCGCGCGCUUUUGUAUGGGGAAUUUCGUUCGAUGGAAAUUUGUAACUAGAUCGUCCAAACAAUUUUUGGACGGUACAGGACAGAUUCGUUAUUUAUAUUAUACUAGCUUCCUGUUAUCCAGUGACACUGAUAAGCAAAUCACGUUUCUAAUUACGCAUGCGGUCAGCUAGAGCGAAAAAAUUGAUUUUAACGUUACCGUCCCCAUCGCUGUUACAACCGUGAUUACAACCGUAGUACAGGUCUUUUUUUUACAAAUAUUUGAGUCUGUUUACACGGAAACGUAUGUUUAGUUUUCGUUCAACGAUGUAUGGCUGCCACAAAGGUCAUGUUUCUAUUAUUUCACAAUGAAAAGAUUAGUCUUCUAGGAACGUUAUUCUAAUAACAACAUGAAUCAUCGGGAGACCUUGUUCACUACCGACACUUGUCGCUGAAAAUUACUCGAAUCAUUUCGUAUGAAAUUGAAAUAUUGUUUUACAUCGGAAAUAGUAUUAUUAAUUAACAUAUGGUUUUUAGAUAACUAAAAAUAUCGAGAUUUACCGAAUUCAUACAUUUUUGGAUUCGGCUUAGCAUUAAUUUGGAAGUACCGAUCAACAAAUGAAGAAACGGCAAAAUGGUAAACGUAAUAUUUUGAUUGAAUUAAUAAAUAUGUAAACAUAUUGUUGCGUUGCGGGAUAAAAUUUUGUUCUUAUUGUUUAUCAAUUGUUUAUUAUAUUACACAACGAAGAUGUUUAAGAGUCUUGCUGCGAUAGAGAAUCAGGGCAAUGACCUUGAACGGUUAAUUGCCUUGAUUGUAACCAAUGUAUACCGAGUAUACAUUGUUGCACACUAUCUUACUUGCAAUCAAGAUUAAUGGCGAGAGUAAUAAGCUUGUUUCAAUAAGGAGUAAAACCUAGCUUAAAUAAGCACGGCUCAAAAUUAUUUCCCGCGUAUGUGUCGUUCUAAAUUAUGAGAAAAUAAUUACAUAUCAGGCCUUUGGAACUUCUUUUAUCCACAUCAUUCAGGAACUUCUUUUUUCCAAUUGUACAUCAACACAAUUUAAUAAAGUAGGAUCAUCAAA
Megalopta genalis is the source of this 1869-nucleotide non-coding RNA. Lineage: Eukaryota; Metazoa; Arthropoda; Insecta; Hymenoptera; Halictidae. The record is from RefSeq and is a predicted model, not a curated record.